GGACCUGUAGUUCAACGGUCAGAACGGUACUCUUAUAAAGUAUAGACGAUGGUUCGACUCCAUCCAGGUCCACAA
RNAcentral lists this transfer RNA (75 nucleotides) under Candidatus Gottesmanbacteria bacterium RIFCSPHIGHO2_01_FULL_40_15. Its description in RNAcentral is "tRNA-Ile". It matches the Rfam family "tRNA". Rfam says of the family: Transfer RNA (tRNA) molecules are approximately 80 nucleotides in length. Their secondary structure includes four short double-helical elements and three loops (D, anti-codon, and T loops). Further hydrogen bonds mediate the characteristic L-shaped molecular structure. tRNAs have two regions of fundamental functional importance: the anti-codon, which is responsible for specific mRNA codon recognition, and the 3' end, to which the tRNAs corresponding amino acid is attached (by aminoacyl-tRNA synthetases). tRNAs cope with the degeneracy of the genetic code in two manners: having more than one tRNA (with a specific anti-codon) for a particular amino acid; and 'wobble' base-pairing, i.e. permitting non-standard base-pairing at the 3rd anti-codon position. Lineage: Bacteria; Candidatus Gottesmaniibacteriota. The record is from RNAcentral. RNAcentral also lists the same sequence under 4 other names.